GCUGACACAUUUCUGUACAAAUGUAAGGAUAAAUUUAUAAUUUUGACUAUAAAUAAAUAAAAGGGUUAUUCUACUAUCACAUUGUGUACAUUAUGUCUGUGAUACAUCUUUUGAGUUAGUAGGAAUGUUAAUUCAUAUUUUCAAGAGUUAAAAAUUUAAGGCAUGAAUUUACAUAACUAACUCAUAAAUAGCUCCUGACCAUAAGAUCAUCACGAGGAUGGUGAUCGAUCUGGAAGGUUGGUGUAUGAUCACUUUCUUAGGAUAGAUGUGUCUUGAGUCUACGGUAUGGAGAUACCAGAGUGAGAGUACAGAUAUUCAUUGAGAAUGAGAGUACUGAGCGUGACCACCUCGAGCAGUCAUAAGGAAAUCUACCUUCUCAUCGAUG
RNAcentral lists this long non-coding RNA (385 nucleotides) under Elaeis guineensis (African oil palm). RNAcentral describes it as "long non-coding RNA (EGUI_LNC079406)". Lineage: Eukaryota; Viridiplantae; Streptophyta; Magnoliopsida; Arecales; Arecaceae. The record is from RNAcentral.